RNAcentral lists this ribosomal RNA (463 nucleotides) under uncultured bacterium. RNAcentral describes it as "bacterial SSU rRNA". It matches the Rfam family "Bacterial small subunit ribosomal RNA", at positions 331 to 792 of the family's 1533-position model. The record is from RNAcentral.
CCAGACUCCUACGGGAGGCAGCAGUGAGGAAUAUUGGUCAAUGGGCGAGAGCCUGAACCAGCCAAGUCGCGUGAAGGAUGACGGCCCUACGGGUUGUAAACUUCUUUUGUCGGGGAGCAAAGCGAACCACGUGUGGUUCAUUGAGAGUACCCGAAGAAAAAGCAUCGGCUAACUCCGUGCCAGCAGCCGCGGUAAUACGGAGGAUGCGAGCGUUAUCCGAAUUUAUUGGGUUUAAAGGGUGCGCAGGCGGAGGUGCAAGUCAGCGGUCAAAUUGCGGGGCUCAACCCCGUACUGCCGUUGAAACUGCAUCCCUUGAGUGCGCGAGAAGUAUGCGGAAUGCGUGGUGUAGCGGUGAAAUGCAUAGAUAUCACGCAGAACUCCGAUUGCGAAGGCAGCAUACCGGCGCGCAACUGACGCUCAUGCGCGAAAGCGUGGGUAUCGAACAGGAUUAGAUACCCGCGUA